This 100-nucleotide non-coding RNA is filed under the name Planococcus rifietoensis. RNAcentral describes it as "Guanine sequence". It matches the Rfam family "Purine riboswitch aptamer". From Rfam's summary of the family: Riboswitches are metabolite binding domains within certain messenger RNAs that serve as precision sensors for their corresponding targets. Allosteric rearrangement of mRNA structure is mediated by ligand binding, and this results in modulation of gene expression. Lineage: Bacteria; Bacillati; Bacillota; Bacilli; Caryophanales; Caryophanaceae. The record is from Rfam by way of RNAcentral.
GAAUAACCCCCAUAAUCUAUCUGUAUAACCUUAAGAAUACGGCUUAAGGGUCUCUACCAGGAACCGAAAAAUCCUGAUUACAGAAAGCGAUCACUCGUUU